GUUUUAGCAUUUUAUAAUUUUUAUCUUUAUAUAUUUCUAGGAUUAAGUGCUUGUGCAUAAUAAAACGGACUUAUCUUUCUCGAAAUCCAACUCCAACCUCAUCGUUGGUGAGCUGGGGACUAACACUAACGGAAUGAGAACUUAUACUUGUUAAUAAUUGAACAAAUUAUAAUUAAAUAAGUAUUAUCAUCUGUAUUUUACCUGGGUUUACCUGUCAAAAAAAUGCGCGCAAUUGUAAUCAAAAGCUGCGCGCAAACGUAAUGAUUUUUGCGCGCAAAUGUAAUGGUAAUGCGCGCAAACGUAAUGCAUCGAUCUGCAUCUGUCAUCACUCGGUA
RNAcentral lists this long non-coding RNA (335 nucleotides) under Mytilus galloprovincialis (Mediterranean mussel). The record is from RNAcentral. Lineage: Eukaryota; Metazoa; Mollusca; Bivalvia; Mytilida; Mytilidae.